AGAACGAACGCUGGCGGCAUGCCUAAUACAUGCAAGUCGAACGAACACUUCGGUGUUAGUGGCGCACGGGUGCGUAACGCGUGGGAAUCUGCCCUUGGGUUCGGAAUAACAGUUGGAAACGACUGCUAAUACCGGAUGAUAUCGAAAGAUCAAAGAUUUAUCGCCCAGGGAUGAGCCCGCGUAGGAUUAGCUAGUUGGUGAGGUAAAGGCUCACCAAGGCGACGAUCCUUAGCUGGUCUGAGAGGAUGAUCAGCCACACUGGGACUGAGACACGGCCCAGACUCCUACGGGAGGCAGCAGUAGGGAAUAUUGGACAAUGGGCGCAAGCCUGAUCCAGCAAUGCCGCGUGAGUGAUGAAGGUCUUAGGAUUGUAAAAAUACUUUCACCGGUGAAGAUAAUGACUGUAGCCGGAAGAAGAAGACCCCGGCUAAACUUCGCGCCAGCAAGCCGC
RNAcentral lists this ribosomal RNA (451 nucleotides) under uncultured soil bacterium. RNAcentral describes it as "bacterial SSU rRNA". It matches the Rfam family "Bacterial small subunit ribosomal RNA", at positions 26 to 518 of the family's 1533-position model. The record is from RNAcentral.